GGACAUUGGAGAGUGACAGGUUCUCAGAGAGCCUCCAAAGGCAGCGCAUCAGCCUGCAGUGUAUUAUGUCGGUCUUGAGAAAGUGCAGAUUGCUGCUGAAAGCAAACUGGGCCU
This 114-nucleotide long non-coding RNA is filed under the name Ictidomys tridecemlineatus (thirteen-lined ground squirrel). RNAcentral's name for it is "lncRNA (ENSSTOG00000029909.1)". Lineage: Eukaryota; Metazoa; Chordata; Mammalia; Rodentia; Sciuridae. The record is from RNAcentral.